This 1702-nucleotide long non-coding RNA is filed under the name Homo sapiens (human). RNAcentral describes it as "HSALNT0408928". Lineage: Eukaryota; Metazoa; Chordata; Mammalia; Primates; Hominidae. The record is from RNAcentral.
CUCAUUCUGCCACAACAAAGCAGAUAUCUCUUAAGUGCUUACUAAGAAGCCCAUGUGACUUUCACAUCUGCCUAUGCACCUGUCUGCAACUACCCCAGAGUAUAAUAGACUGUUCUCUUCCACCUUUUAAAUCUCAUUCAUGCAAGUGCCUCCUACUGGAAAACUGUAAUCCAGAAUCAUUUCGGGGAGAGGAUUCUGGGAAACUGUUCACUGGCUUCCCUUCUGUGAUACAAAAAGAGGAUCUUAAAGCAGCUUGGUCGUUGUGGUAGGCAGAAAAAUUGCCUUCCAGAGAUGUUCGAUCCCUGCAACCUGUGAAUAUAUUACUUUAUAUGCGAACAGAAACUUCAGAGAUGGUAUUAAGUUUACUUUAAAAAUAGAGAAAACAUCCUGGAUUAUUCACAUGAUCCUAGUGUGAUCACAUGUGUCCUUAUUAAAACUGGAAGAGGGAGACAGAAGACUGAGUCAGAGAGAUGCAAGAAAAUUCAAAGUGUGAGAGGGACUCCUACCCACCAUUGCUGGUGUGAAAGAUAGAGAAAAGGGGCCAGAAGCCAAGGCAUGGAGGCAGCAUCUACAAGCUAGAUAUCACCUUCAUCUGACAGCCUCAAAGGAAACAGGAAUGCUAGUGCUACAAUUGCAACAACCUGAAUGUACAAUAAAGCAAUUCUCGACCGGGCACAGUGGCUCAUGCUUGUAAUCCCGGCACUUUGGGAGGUCGAAGCAGGCGGAUCACCUGAGGUUGGGAGUUCGAGACCAGCCUGGCCAACAUGGAGAAACCCAUCUCUACUAAAAAUACAAAAUUAGCUGGGCGUGGUGGUGCACACCUGUAAACCCAGCUACUCGGGAGCCUGAGGCAGGAGAAUUGCUUGAACCCGGGAGGCAGAGAUUGUGGUGAGCCAAAAUCUUGCCGUUGCAUUCCACCCUGGGCAACAAGAGCAAAACUUCAUCUCAAAACAAAAAAAAAACAAAACAAAACAAAACAAAAAAACCAAUUCUCACUUAGAGCCUUUAGAAAGGAACAGAGCUCUACUGACUCCUUCAUUUCUGCUUGGUGAGAAAUUCAUCUGACUUUUGCCCUAGAGAACUGAAGGUAUUAGAGACAGACUUGUAACUCCUUCAGCUCCUGCGGUAUCUUCAGCUUCAUCUUCUCUGACUGUUGGGCCAGGUGUGUGUUUAGCUUCCCGAUGAAGGACAUUGACUUCUCUUGCACUUCAUCUGCAUCAUCCAAGUUGAAGGUUUAGAGGUCGCGGGAAACUGAUGUGGAUUUCUGCUUAUCUUUGGGAAUUCUGGUUAUCCCUUUUCUCCACCAUUUUGCAGGCAUCUUUCCUUCCUUACUGCCUGUCCUGCUGUCUUCAGAGUAAACACAAGACUCAGAAGUAAUGGGAAAAUAUAGAUUUCUUUACCACUUCCUACAAUAGCAUAUAAUCAAAUAAUGCCUAUAAUAAAUGCUUUAUUCUAUAUUACUUGUAGUGGUUCUGUUGCAAUUGUGAUACAUGUCUGGUUUCAUAAUGUUUCCAGAUAGUCUCUUACAUCUUAUCAGCCUGAACAAUAUUAUUGCCUGCAUAGAUUCCCCACAUGGCAAAUCUACAUGCAGUUGUCCCAGAAAAUAAAAGCUGUCCCAGACAGCCUUUCCAACUUUUAUCUUCUGACAAUAUUAUCUCACAACAACAGAUUACACCUUAGCUACUCCCUUAAAUCACAUUUU